Molecule: small nucleolar RNA, 107 nt
Organism: Zingiber officinale
Lineage: Eukaryota; Viridiplantae; Streptophyta; Magnoliopsida; Zingiberales; Zingiberaceae
Source: RefSeq, a predicted model, not a curated record
AAUCUAUGAUGUGGGCAUUGUUACAAUAACCCCUUAAAUCUGCCUUAUGCCUUGAACAAAGACUCUCUUUCCUUCUCUGCAAAGCUCAUGAUUUUAUUCCUCAUAUA